Molecule: long non-coding RNA, 1005 nt
Filed under: Sus scrofa (pig)
Lineage: Eukaryota; Metazoa; Chordata; Mammalia; Artiodactyla; Suidae
Description: lncRNA (ENSSSCG00015052864.1)
Source: RNAcentral
UCUGUUAUUAUUUAAUCCAAUCUCUCUGUCUUUUGAUUAGAGAAUCUAAUAAAAUAUGUUGACAUUUAGUAUAAUAAGUAGUAUACUUGAUUUUAGUUUUUUAAUCUUAUUUUUUGCUUAUAUUUAGUUUAUUCUUCAAUGACCUCUUUCUUCAUUUUUCUGGUUUGCUCAAAUUCCUCCUUGUUAACUUGAGAAAUCUGAUGAACUUUUAUAUCCCAUUAAUAACUGCCUUCCAUUCUCAGGCACUAACAAUCUAUUUUUUCAUUUUACAAAAAUAAAAUAACUUUUCCCCACCUAUGUCCAGACACUCUGUUCUCCCAAUACUUUCCCCAAUCUAAGAAGAACACUGUCACUGCCCACCCCCCUCUCCCAUUCCUAGGUGAGAUCUUGAGAAUGAUCUUAAAUACUUCUAACCUUCUACCCAGCUGCAACUCUUGAGUCUGGCCAAGAUAAUUUAGAAUUUCUAAUUCCAGACAAUUAUUAUACCACCACUGGCAAUGUGAAUCUUCCAUGUUACUGCAUAUGACACAAUCCUCGGAAAUCAAUCUUUUUUCAUUGAAAAGCCAGUUUCAGGAAGUUCCUGUGGUGGCUCGACUGUAAGGAACCUGACUAAUAUUCAUGAGGAGGCAGGUUUGAUUCCUGGCCUCACUCAGUGAGUUAAGGAUCUUGCGUUGCUGUGAGCUGUGGUGUAGGUCACAGACACUGCAUAGAUCCUAUGUUGCUGUGGUUGUGUUGGAAGCAGGCAGCUGUAGCUCUGAUAUGCUGUAGGGUGUAGCCCUAAAAAAAAGGCAAAAAAAAAAAAAAGGCAGUUUAAUGUAAUUAUGAGCUUGGACACUGGAGUCAGAUUAUCUGGGCUUGCGUCUCAGCUCCCCUGCUUGCUAACCAUGUGUAAUUUAUGAUAAGAAAUGUAUUUGCUCCUCAUCCCCAUUUCUGGCACAGAGCUUCUAAAACCCUUGGAGUUUCUUGAGUGAUGAGAGUAAAAAAGUGUCCAAAAAAAAGCCUCAU